CGUGGGUGACCUGCCCUCGAGUGGGGAAUAACGCUGCGAAAGCAGCGCUAAUACCGCAUAAUCUCACGGCUUCACGCCGUGAGCAAAGCUUGAUGUGCUGGAGGAGGGGCCUGCGGCGGAUUAGCUAGUCGGUGGGGUAAUGGCCUACCGAGGCGACGAUCCGUAGCUGGUCUGAGAGGAUGACCAGCCACACUGGGACUGAGACACGGCCCAG
RNAcentral lists this ribosomal RNA (214 nucleotides) under uncultured bacterium. RNAcentral describes it as "partial 16S ribosomal RNA". It matches the Rfam family "Bacterial small subunit ribosomal RNA", at positions 116 to 334 of the family's 1533-position model. The record is from RNAcentral.